Molecule: long non-coding RNA, 340 nt
Organism: Neopsephotus bourkii (Bourke's parrot)
Lineage: Eukaryota; Metazoa; Chordata; Aves; Psittaciformes; Psittacidae
Exons: 3
Source: RefSeq, a predicted model, not a curated record
AGGAUGAGAACAUUGGGGCUGCUCAACCUGGAGAAGAGAAGCUGUGUGGACACAUCAGAGCAGCUUCCAUGUCUGAAAGGGGCUACAGGGAUGUUGCAGAGGGACUACUCAUCAGGGACUGUAGUGACAGGACAAGGGGUGAUGGGUUCGAACUGAAACAGGGGAAACUGAGCUGAGCUCUUAGGCAGAAGCUCUUCCCUGUGAGGGUGCUGAGGCGCUGGCACAGGGUGCCCAGAGAAGCUGUGGCUGCCCCAUCCCUGGCAGUGCUCAAGGCCAGGUUGGACACAGGGGCUUGGAGCAAGGUGCUCCAGUGGAAGGUGUCCCUGCCCGUGGCAGGGGU